This 305-nucleotide long non-coding RNA is filed under the name Ananas comosus (pineapple). Its description in RNAcentral is "long non-coding RNA (ACOM_LNC003118)". Lineage: Eukaryota; Viridiplantae; Streptophyta; Magnoliopsida; Poales; Bromeliaceae. The record is from RNAcentral.
ACCCGACAGUCCGGAAUAGUCUAUACACUACUGUGAAAAUAAACUCGGCAUCUCAGCACGAGCGUAAUUUCAUUUUACACUAUUCUGGGUAUCCACCGCCUACAAACUGCGGCGAUACAAACAAACUACAGCUCCUAAAACUAAAUCUGGUAGUUUGUAGAAAACGACAGUGUAGAAUCUAUAGUUUUCUCCUAAGUCAAUUCCAAGUUCAACAUGUAUAAUUUAACUAACAUUUUAGCUCCAAUUCAGAUUUCAUUCAAGAACAAAUGCAAAUCAACGAAUUGAGCUACUAAACAUGCUAUACG